Molecule: ribosomal RNA, 372 nt
Filed under: uncultured bacterium
Lineage: Bacteria
Description: bacterial SSU rRNA
Rfam family: Bacterial small subunit ribosomal RNA
Source: RNAcentral
GAAGGGUGCAAGCGUUACUCGGAAUUACUGGGCGUAAAGCGUGCGUAGGCGGUUUGUUAAGUCUGAUGUGAAAGCCCUGGGCUCAACCUGGGAAUGGCAUUGGAUACUGGCAAUCUAGAAUGUGGUAGAGGGUGGCGGAAUUCCCGGUGUAGCAGUGAAAUGCGUAGAUAUCGGGAGGAACAUCCGUGGCGAAGGCGGCCACCUGGACCAACAUUGACGCUGAGGCACGAAAGCGUGGGGAGCAAACAGGAUUAGAUACCCUGGUAGUCCACGCCCUAAACCGAUGCGAACUGGAUGUUGGGUUCAAUUGAGAACUCAGUAUCGAAGCUAACGCGUUAAGUUCGCCGCCUGGGAAGUACGGUCGCAAGACUG